Molecule: transfer RNA, 72 nt
Filed under: Sphaerodactylus townsendi
Lineage: Eukaryota; Metazoa; Chordata; Lepidosauria; Squamata; Sphaerodactylidae
Description: tRNA-Ala
Rfam family: tRNA
About the family: Transfer RNA (tRNA) molecules are approximately 80 nucleotides in length. Their secondary structure includes four short double-helical elements and three loops (D, anti-codon, and T loops).
Source: RNAcentral
AGGAAUGUGGCUCAGUGGAAAAGCAUCUGCUUUGCACCUAGAAGGUCUCAGGUUCAAUCCCCAGCAUCUCCA